Molecule: long non-coding RNA, 5107 nt
Filed under: Sus scrofa (pig)
Lineage: Eukaryota; Metazoa; Chordata; Mammalia; Artiodactyla; Suidae
Description: lncRNA (ENSSSCG00035031653.1)
Source: RNAcentral
CAGCACAGUUUAUUGAAAAGAUUGAGUCAUAAUCGUAUAUAUAAUCUUUCACCUACAUUAGCAUUUGGUUAAACUACUACUUCCACAUUUUAAAUAUAAAAGCUUUUUUUUUGUUUUUUUGUUUUGUUUUUUUGUUUUUUUUUGCUUUUUAGGGCUACGCCUCUGUAGCUCCAAUUCAGCCCCUAGCCUGGGAACUUCCAUAUGCUGCAGGUGGGCUCCCACAAAGAAAAAUAUAUAUGUACAUCACACACACGCUUAGUGAACAUCUCUUAUACACAUAUAAACACAUAUAAACUAAAGGAUGUCCUGAGUCUCAGAUAUCCAUCUUUCAACAAACCUCUUUUCAUCUGUAUGUCUGUAGGUCAGUCUACUUAUAUACUUUUUAUUUUUAGCUCACUUGAAACAGAUUUUUUGUUGUUUUGGGUAAUUACAAAUCAGCACAGUUAAAUAAAGAUGUUACAGCAAAGUGAUCAUCGAACUAGAAAUAAAUAAAUGGGUGAAUAAAUAUAAGAGGAAGAGAUUUUAAUACAAGUAAAUGUGCUAAUUGGCACAUGCCUAAGGACAAGCUACUAAACAUUUGGCUUUUGAGUUUUUGAGUAAAUAAAGCUAAGAGGUCAAUGGAAUAUGUUAAAUCAGUACCCAUAAGAUGAAAACAGAUGGUUUAACUAGGAAAAACAAAUAAUACUUGGAAGAAUUUUAUUCAAUAAGCCCUCAUAAGCGGACAUUAGCUUAUGUUAAGAAAAAGGUUCUGUGAGUAUUCAGAGUGAAAUGUCAUGAGUCUCAUGAAGACAUAACGUUAAAAUAUCAAAUGUCUUGUCCCAUUAAUUCAUUUAUGGAGAGCCAGUAAGAUGUUAUGAUGGCUUCAAAGAUCUUUUGAAAAGCUAGGCAUUUACACCUGAUGUUAGGAUAAGAUUGCUCAGCUAGAAACAAAACUGGUUAAGAUCCAACAAGGCCCUACAGUGUAAUCUAUUUCUUCCAUUGGAAACAAAGUGUUUGCAUCUCUAUUAGAUAAAUUCUGCAAGUUAAUCAUAAAUUGAAGAGGUGAAAAAUAACCCAGGAGAUAGAAAAGUCAAGCCAGGUGCUACACUGAAAAUACAUCCAGUAAUCUCUUAAUAAAUUGUUAAGGCUCAGGAGAAUACCACUGAAAAAAAUGAAGAAUAAGAGGAAAGUGGAUGAAGAUGUGCUGAAAUCUGAAUAAACAAUAGCAAAAUAAAAACCAAUAUAAUAGUGAUGAAAGAAAAAACAACAAAAAUAUUUUCAAAAAAAUUUUAAAGUCUUUUAGCUGAAAACUGCUUUAUGUCUAAAGUUUUCUGUAUUUAAAUAUAGCCUAUUCACAUAUUCACUAUGCUGUGAAUUUUAUAGAGGAAUUUAUUUAAUUAAAAGCAGAUUCUCAUGCAUAAAAUCAUUUUCCUUAAGAAUGAGGAAAUACAUAUUUAAAAAUUCAGAGAGUUUUUUUUUUUUUUUUGAGGUAUUUAAAAUCCCUUAAGUCAUUUUGAAAAUUCUAAUGCCUAAUUAUGUCUGGCUUAUUAUUCUCAGAAUUCUUUAUCCCUAAUUGACCUCUACUCAAUAAAUAGGAUAGCGUUUCACAUGGAUAUAUUUGUGGUACAUAAUGCUCAUAGACACUCAAUGGGUGUUCUUUAUCAUUUGAGUAAUCCUAACUAUAAAACUCUCAUAUGAGCCUUGUUCCAUCCUGAUUUUUAAUAAAACUGCCUUUUGAGAGAAAUUAUUUCAUCUUAUUUCUGAAAUUGGUAAAUAUGUCAAUGAUGGUGACAGAUUAAAUCUGAGCUGAUGACCUUGAGCUAAAAGGUUUAACAUCUCAUUGUAAUUCAACCCCUGAGUCCACUUUCUUCCCAUUUGUGUUUUGUUAUUAUGUGCUCUUAUGUAAAGAUACAUUAGUGCUUUUAAGCACAUACUACCACUCUAGUCCCUCUCUUGUUUCCAGGCAGAUAUGUAUUAAAUAUUUAUCAUCAGAAUAAACAAAAACUACUCACAUAAUAGUGAUUCUCCUAAAGCGAAUCUUAUCAGAGAAGUAUACUUAACCAGCUGUCAGCACUCAGAGAUAAGUUUUUAUCUCCAGAUUUAAAAAAAAAAUUGUUAAUAUAGUAGAAUUUUGCCUUUUUUUUUUUUUUAUCUUUUAUCUUUUGUCCUUUUGGGGCUGCACCUGUGGCAGAUGGAGGUUCCCAGGCUAGGGGUUAAGGAAUAAGAUUUUAUCAUUCUUUAGCUAAUUUAGCAAUGAAAAUUAUGAAAAUGUGUGGUUUUGAAAGGAUAAAACCAGAGCAUGUAAAAUUUCCUUUUUGAAAGGAUCUGUCCAUUUGUUCAUCUAUUAUCCUUCUAUCAGUCAUCCAUCUUGGAAGUAUUUGCUGAAAUCUACCAUGUCUCAAAUACAGUUCUAGGCACAAGAAUGAAAGAAACCUCUGUUCGAAUAGGAACAUUACAUUUCCUAUACAUUUCAGUUUUGAUGGAUUAGAUAGAGUAGGCUUCUGUUCCUUUUAAUAUGUAGAAUGCCAUGUGACACACAGGGAUAUUGGACAUUCUGAAUUUAUUUAUCUUUUUAUCUUUGCCUUUUGUUUUUCUCUCUCCCUCUUCCUAAGUGACACCUCUUAUCUUUUUCAUCUGCCUUCUGUUUGUAUUACUCUUAACUUACCUCCUACUAGACUAAUGUAGUUUACUCUUCAUGUCCUCUAUCAAUAUAUAUUUUUUUUUUUUUUUUACUUUUGGCAAGUAUGUUUUUCUUGCCACAGUUUUCCUUAUUUUAAAUUCUUUUUUAUUCUAUUUUUAAUUUGUUUUACUGAAAGCAUAAAUACUCCCAUUAAAGUGCUUUCAUUUUAAAACUUGUAUGAAUGUAUAAUGAACACAUUUUUAAAAAUUUUCCUUUUAUACUUUUUUCACUUUUUUGCCUCUGUUUCCCUGGGUCUCUGUUUUUUAGUUAUUGAUUCUCUUUAUUUGUCAGAGACUUUAAUUUGUCAGUUGGCUUAAAUUUUUGUUGCCUACUUAUAUUUAUAUAUUAUAAUGUAUACUCUCUGGGGUUAGUAGCUGGUAUGGGCUCUUGACAGAAAAUAUUUUUGUCAUGAUUUGAUUUUCCUUAGUUUUGCUCACUUUUGCACUCCAGGCCGGGCCCAUUGUUGGAUUGUUGGGCACCUUCUGCAGGUCAGUAUAAAGCUGACUCUCCUCAAGUGGGAGGAGGAGGAGUGGCCUUAAAGAGAGCCUAUUCUUUGGCUCAGCUGGAGGCUUUAGGGUUUCAUAGGGAGGUAGAAGCUUCUGCAAUCCUCCUCUGACAGCAAGAAGGUGGUUAAUAACUUUGAAGUUUCUGGUGAGUAUCUUUCUAAGCAUAUUAAUUGGAGUAGAAGGCAACAGGCCUCCUUAGAGUGAAGAAGUGGAUGCAGAGAUUUCAGGCCUGGCAACAGAGCACUUUUCUUCAUAACUCUCUCAAUAGCAUCUCUUAAAUUUCAAGGUGCGGCUGCUACUUUGCUUUCCUAUUGGCCACACUGAGGAAAAUUAGAGUAAGGAUACAUUUAUAUGCUUAGGUCACCUUCUUACCUUACUUACUGUAGUUGCUAAUUUUCAGAGUUCUUUCAAACUUGAAAAAAGGAAAAAACUAUAAUAAAAAUACUAUACAUUUUUAGCUUUAAAAAAUAAGGGUAAACAAAUGGAGUGGUAAAGAGCAUUUGUCUAGAGGAGAACAUUUCUUAACACUAUCACAUUAAGGACAGAGAGAAAUUUUCUCCAGUUUAUGUACCGAUGUCAGAGAGCUAUGUGUUUCAGAACACUGAACUCAUGUGUCUUUGCAAUUGGUCUUGAAGGCGGGUCUUUUAAGUAUGAGAUAAAAUUCAUCAAUCAUUUUCAGUGCCAUAUUUCCCUGCUGAGAAUGUGCUAGCCAUAGAUAGUGGCAUUUGAUUGUUUUAUUUGAGAACGAAUAGGAUGAUUCUUCUACUUCUUCAAAGGAAAUAUUUUAAACAAUUUAUGUUAAAGCCCUUCUGCCCCUUAGAUUGAUAUACCUUAAUGUUGUUCCUCAAUGCAUAUGUACAUCAUUAAUAAACAUUAAUGAUAUUUCUAAAAGUUGAAUACUAUGUAUAUCCAAGAAAAGUAUGAAGACCAAAUUUAAUUGAUUUAAAAAUUGUACGCUAUAUUUUGCUUUAUUUUGUAGCAUUUGUGACAGGAGACCUAGGAUAAUAUAAGAAUUUAUGAAUCAUGUAAAUCUGAUCACAAAAAUUAGUUCAUGUAAUUUUUUCAGUUUUUAAUAAACUUUCAAUAAAACUAUUGAAGUAUAUUUGAUUUACAAUGUUGUAAUAGUUUUUGCUGCACAACAGAAUGAUUCGGUUACACAUGUAUACACAUCCAUUCUUUUUCAGAUUCUUUUCCCAUUUAGGUUAUCACAAAAUAUUGACUAGAGUUCCUUAUGCUAUGCAUCAGUUCUCCAUUCGCCAGUCAUUCCAUAUACCACAGUAUGCAUGCGUUAAUUCCAUACCCCCAGUCCAUCCCUCUACCGGACCUGUACUCUUUGGUUUCAAAAAUUUGUUUUCAAAAUCUGUGAGUCUAUUUCUGUUCUAUAAAUAAGUUCAUUUGUAUUCUUUUUUCCAGAAGUUUGUCUUUAAUAGUCUGACCAACAUAUGAUGUUUGUCUUUCAUACUCUGGCUAACUUCAUUUAGUAUGAUAAUCUCUAGGUCUAUCCAUGUUGCUACAAAUGGCAUUAUUUCAUUCUUUUUUAUGCCUGAGUAAUAUUCUGUUGUAUAUAUGUACCACAUCUUCAUCUAGUCCUCUGCUGAAAGGCAUUUAGGUUGCUCUCAAUGUCUUGGCUAUGGUAAAUAGUACUGCAAUGAACAUUGCAGUGUUCAUAUUUUUUCAAAUUACGGUUUUCUGCAGAUAGAUACCCAGAAGUGUGUAAUAUGGUAGUUCUAUUUUUAGUUUUUAAGGUACCUCUGUACUGUUCUCCAUAGUGGUUAUAUCAGCUUACAUUUUCACCAACAGUGUAAGUGUGUUCCCUUUUCUCCACACUCUCUCUAGCAUUUAUUGUUUAUAGACUUUUGGAUGAUGGACAAUCUCACAGGUGUAAGGUGAUACCUUAUUGUAGUUUUAAUUUAAUUUCUCUAAUACUUAGUGAUGAGCAUUU